GCAAUGAGUGUAGGGAGUCGGUGGCGAAGCUCUUCCCCGAGGCUGAUCCUAGUUGUCUUAACCCUUUUGGAGGAGGUGUGAAGGUGGCACAAAGGAGAAGCAGGAUGAAACCAGAGAGUAGGGAAUGAAUGUCACCGCUUCCUCCUUGGGAUGUUGUGAUUGAGCUUCCUCUCACAAGCCCCAAGGAGUAGGCCUUCAAGCCUAUUGU
This 208-nucleotide long non-coding RNA is filed under the name Elaeis guineensis (African oil palm). Its description in RNAcentral is "long non-coding RNA (EGUI_LNC072964)". The record is from RNAcentral. Lineage: Eukaryota; Viridiplantae; Streptophyta; Magnoliopsida; Arecales; Arecaceae.